UUGAAGAGUUUGAUCAUGGCUCAGAUUGAACGCUGGCGGCAGGCCUAACACAUGCAAGUCGAACGGUAACAGGAAGCAGCUUGCUGCUUUGCUGACGAGUGGCGGACGGGUGAGUAAUGUCUGGGAAACUGCCUGAUGGAGGGGGGAUAACUACUGGAAACGGUAGCUAAUACCGCAUAACGUCGCAAGACCAAAGAGGGGGGACCUUAGGGCCUCUUGCCAUCGGAUGUGCCCAGAUGGGAUUAGCUAGUAGGUGGGGUAACGGCUCACCUAGGCGACGAUCCCUAGCUGGUCUGAGAGGAUGACCAGCCACACUGGAACUGAGACACGGUCCAGACUCCUACGGGAGGCAGCAGUGGGGAAUAUUGCACAAUGGGCGCAAGCCUGAUGCAGCCAUGCCGCGUGUAUGAAGAAGGCCUUCGGGUUGUAAAGUACUUUCAGCGGGGAGGAAGGGAGUAAAGUUAAUACCUUUGCUCAUUGACGUUACCCGCAGAAGAAGCACCGGCUAACUCCGUGCCAGCAGCCGCGGUAAUACGGAGGGUGCAAGCGUUAAUCGGAAUUACUGGGCGUAAAGCGCACGCAGGCGGUUUGUUAAGUCAGAUGUGAAAUCCCCGGGCUCAACCCGGGAACUGCAUCUGAUACUGGCAAGCUUGAGUCUCGUAGAGGGGGGGGUAGAAUUCCGGUGUAGCGGUGAAAUGCGUAGAGAUCUGGAGGAAUACCGGUGGCGAAGGCGGCCCCCCGGACGAAGACUGACGCUCAGGUGCGAAAGCGUGGGGAGCAAACAGGAUUAGAUACCCCGGUAGUCCACGCCGUAAACGAUGUCGACUUGGAGGUUGUGCCCUUGAGGCGUGGCUUCCGGAGCUAACGCGUUAAGUCGACCGCCCGGGGAGUACGGCCGCAAGGUUAAAACUCAAAUGAAUUGACGGGGGGCCCGCACAAGCGGUGGAGCAUGUGGUUUAAUUCGAUGCAACGCGAAGAACCUUACCCGGGUCUUGACAUCCACGGAAGUUUUCAGAGAUGAGAAUGUGCCUUCGGGAACCGUGAGACAGGUGCUGCAUGGCUGUCGUCAGCUCGUGUUGUGAAAUGUUGGGUUAAGUCCCGCAACGAGCGCAACCCUUAUCCUUUGUUGCCAGCGGUCCGGCCGGGAACUCAAAGGAGACUGCCAGUGAUAAACUGGAGGAAGGUGGGGAUGACGUCAAGUCAUCAUGGCCCUUACGACCAGUGGCUACACACGUGCUACAAUGGCGCAUACAAAGAGAAGCGACCUCGCGAGAGCAAGCGGACCUCAUAAAGUGCGUCGUAGUCCGGAUUGGAGUCUGCAACUCGACUCCAUGAAGUCGGAAUCGCUAGUAAUCGUGGAUCAGAAUGCCACGGUGAAUACGUUCCCGGGCCUUGUACACACCGCCCGUCACACCAUGGGAGUGGGUUGCAAAAGAAGUAGGUAGCUUAACCUUCGGGAGGGCGCUUACCACUUUGUGAUUCAUGACUGGGGUGAAGUCGUAACAAGGUAACCGUAGGGGAACCUGCGGUUGGAUCACCUCCUU
This 1544-nucleotide ribosomal RNA is filed under the name Escherichia coli. RNAcentral's name for it is "bacterial SSU rRNA". It matches the Rfam family "Bacterial small subunit ribosomal RNA". Lineage: Bacteria; Pseudomonadati; Pseudomonadota; Gammaproteobacteria; Enterobacterales; Enterobacteriaceae. The record is from RNAcentral.